GAUGAAGAACGCAGCGAAAUGCGAUAAGUAAUGUGAAUUGCAGAAUUUAGUGAAUCAUCGAAUCUUUGAACGCACAUUGCGCCCCCUGGUAUUCCGGGGGGCAUGCCUGUCCGAGCGUCAUUACAACCCUCAAGCUCAGCUUGGUAUUGGGCCCCGCCGACCCGGCGGGCCCUAAAGUCAGUGGCGGUGCCGUCCGGCUCCGAGCGUAGUAAUUCUUCUCGCUCUGGAGGUCCGGUCGUGUGCUCGCCAGCAACCCCCAAUUUUUUUCAGGUUGACCUCGGAUCAGGUAGGGAUACCCGCUGAACUUAAGCAUAUCAAUAAGCGGAGGA
Molecule: unclassified non-coding RNA, 329 nt
Filed under: soil metagenome
Description: partial contains 5.8S ribosomal RNA, internal transcribed spacer 2, and large subunit ribosomal RNA
Rfam family: 5.8S ribosomal RNA (bases 1-120)
Source: RNAcentral